Molecule: ribosomal RNA, 497 nt
Filed under: uncultured bacterium
Lineage: Bacteria
Description: partial 16S ribosomal RNA
Rfam family: Bacterial small subunit ribosomal RNA
Source: RNAcentral
GAUGAACGCUGGCGGCGUGCCUAAUACAUGCAAGUCGAGCGAACGGACGAGAAGCUUGCUUCUCUGAUGUUAGCGGCGGACGGGUGAGUAACACGUGGAUAACCUACCUAUAAGACUGGGAUAACUUCGGGAAACCGGAGCUAAUACCGGAUGAUAUUUUGAACCGCAUGGUUCAAAAGUGAAAGACGGUCUUGCUGUCACUUAUAGAUGGAUCCGCGCUGCAUUAGCUAGUUGGUAAGGUAACGGCUUACCAAAGCAACGAUGCAUAGCCGACCUGAGAGGGUGAUCGGCCACACUGGAACUGAGACACGGUCCAGACUCCUACGGGAGGCAGCAGUAGGGAAUCUUCCGCAAUGGGCGAAAGCCUGACGGAGCAACGCCGCGUGAGUGAUGAAGGUCUUCGGAUCGUAAAACUCUGUUAUUAGGGAAGAACAUAUGUGUAAGUAACUGUGCACAUCUUGACGGUACCUAAUCAGAAAGCCACGGCUAACUACGUG